RNAcentral lists this ribosomal RNA (484 nucleotides) under uncultured bacterium. Its description in RNAcentral is "partial 16S ribosomal RNA". It matches the Rfam family "Bacterial small subunit ribosomal RNA", at positions 30 to 507 of the family's 1533-position model. The record is from RNAcentral.
AUUGAACGCUGGCGGCAGGCCUAACACAUGCAAGUCGAGCGGAUGAAGGGAGCUUGCUCCUGGAUUCAGCGGCGGACGGGUGAGUAAUGCCUAGGAAUCUGCCUGGUAGUGGGGGAUAACGUCCGGAAACGGGCGCUAAUACCGCAUACGUCCUGAGGGAGAAAGUGGGGGAUCUUCGGACCUCACGCUAUCAGAUGAGCCUAGGUCGGAUUAGCUAGUUGGUGGGGUAAAGGCCUACCAAGGCGACGAUCCGUAACUGGUCUGAGAGGAUGAUCAGUCACAUGGGAACUGAGACAGGGUCCAGACUCAUCGGGAGGGAAGCAGGGGGGAAUUUUGGAAAGGGGGAGAAGGCUUGAUCCAGCCUGGCGGCGUGUGGGAAGAAGGUCUGGGGAUUGUAAACCAUUUUAAGUUGGGAGAAAGGGCAGUAAGUUAAUACUUUGCUGUUUUGACGUAACAAAAAGAAUAACCACCGACUAAUUCCGUC